Molecule: long non-coding RNA, 1441 nt
Filed under: Lactuca sativa (garden lettuce)
Lineage: Eukaryota; Viridiplantae; Streptophyta; Magnoliopsida; Asterales; Asteraceae
Description: long non-coding RNA (LSAT_LNC003370)
Source: RNAcentral
UUGAAGCUAUUUUCCAUUUAAUUUCUAAAUGCCUACGAGGAAAUCGCAAUAGGCUUUUAGCAAAUUAAAUAGAAACUAGAAAGAAACCCAUGCUUCACAUGGGGCAGAGGGGUUGGUGAUGUCUAAAAUGGAAAUGUACUGUUAUGUUUUGUCUAACUCAGGUAUGUACUUUCAUAUGCACAAUUACAUAAUCAUUACACAUUUGCCUUAAAAAGGAGAAUGUGAUUAAUCUAAAAUCAAUUAAUGACCCAUUUGAUAUAAGUUGGUUUCUUUGAAAGACUGAUGUAUCUUUCUUCUCCGGGUCCAUAAAUAGCAGCCGCAUGAAUCACACAUGUGCAAAAAAAUCCCCUCUUUUUUCCUGUAAAAUAACAGCCAACAAAAAAUUUGGUAAACAAAUGUCAAAGGUGUUUUAAAAUUAAAGAUAAGGCAUUGUAACUCCAAAAUUUAUAGGUUCAUGUCUAUCAUGGUCACGCAUUAACAUCACUUUUUACCUUCCACCUAAAAAACCAACCAAAAGGCAUCUGAUUUAAACAAAAGAAAAAACAAAGAAAAAGGACCAAUCACAAGCCCUUUCUUCACAUCUUUUUCUUUCCUAUUUCUAAUCAGGCAGCGAGCCUCACCUGGUAAGUUGCUUAGAACAUCUUAGGGAGUGGAGUUGGCGUCCUUAGCGAGCUGGAGGCAAGCUUGGCCAACAAGCUACUCCCUCCAGCCUAAUAGUAAAAAUAUAUAUUACUAUUUCCUGCAAUUUGAAACAGAUACAAGUUGCUUAAUUUUUUUGUUAUAUGUACUUUUGACAUAUUAUACCCUAAAAGUAAGUGAAUCUUAAGUGUUAUGAAUUGAAAAGUUAAUACCUGUGGUUUUGGUUUUUAAGUCUGAUAAUUCUCUUUUUAGUAGCUGUUUGGAGGCUUUAACGCUUUUGCCUUUGUUUUUUCUUCUCCCGUUGACAUUCACCACACCGGCUAGUAAAUAUGUUUUCUCAUCUAUCUAAACACAAAACUAUAACAAAAAAAAUUAUAAAAAAAAAAACCUUUUCAAAUUCAAUAAAUUUACUUUAGUCCGAAAAUAAAACUGUCUGCAUCAAAUCAACAAAUUGACUUUAUUUCUAGUUGUAGUAGCUCUAGCUCCAUGCCGACCACAGUGAAUAAUCGCAUGCCCUGAAUAUUUAAAUAUCUCAUAUAAAUAUAAUUUUAAAAUAAAAUAAACAUUAUAAAAAUAUAAUAAAAAUAAUUAUUAUUUUGUUACCUCGGGUAAUGAUUCAGUAUGCAUAUGAUAAAUUGGCUGGACCAAGAAUAGAUUGUAACGAUAAUUUGCAGAAAUCAAGAAAAAAACAAAUAGAAAAAUGAAGACAAAGACGCAUGUGAUAAAAAAAAUAACAGUGGAUGCAAAAAUUCACUAAGAGAAACAUGUUAGAAUAAUUUAGAGAUAAAUCAUUUGAAACCUA